This is a long non-coding RNA of Cygnus olor (mute swan), 2122 nucleotides long. RefSeq lists it as uncharacterized. The transcript has 3 exons. The record is from RefSeq and is a predicted model, not a curated record. NCBI's taxonomy places the organism in Eukaryota, Metazoa, Chordata, Aves, Anseriformes, Anatidae.
AACAAAGUGUGACAGCCUUAGAGACUAACUUUCACCAGCCAGAGAUACCGCACCCACUGGCACAGCCCGGGGAAUGUUCUUAUUUCCAGCCUCAUCUAAAGGCCCUGCAUCUGGUAACCACGUCAACUCAGAAACAGACAGGAGCACCACAGUCACUGAAUGUUACUAUGAGAGGGUUCCAGAUCAUUUUCUUCUGAAUUUUGUCACCAUAGGGCAAACAGGAAAGCCACAGACUGCACAGCACAUGAGUCCUGCUUGUAUGUGAGACAAACAGGACAGAACUGCCAAAAGUAAGCAGGAAGUGGAGUCAUCUGAACAAAUGAAGUCCAGUUAAGCAGCAUACAGAAGGAUGUGCUGAGUUACCUGUGUGUGCAUCUCUACACCAGCACCAUUUACAGACAGAAAGGUUACUGUGAAAGUGCUUUUGAAGAACCAACUGGAGAUGAAAAAUGUGAAGAUGAGAAAUUUCACAGGAAAUCUGGGAACUUCAGGCAAAGUGAGCCAAACUAGAAAAACACUGACUACUGGAGAUGGACCUUUAGUUUUGAAAACAUCAGUCUGGAAAACAUUCUUCAGAGCUAAGUUACUGCUAAUUUGUCAUAGCUGAGACUACUCUGAUUUAGACAGCAUCUCAAUGCUGUAACCUGGAAUGUCUUCUUUUAAUUGAAGAGGCUUAAUUAAGCAUUUUCAACAGUGGUAGAGCUCUAUAAGUAGGGUUAACUGUAAGUAGGGUUAACCUGAUGCUGCUAUUUCUACAGGACUGUUCACAUGGAAUGUGGAAAUUUCACUAAUCUUUCUUGCAUCUGAUUAGCAAUGAGAAUCCUAACCACUAGCUUCCAGUCUAGUUUACUCUCCAGAUUAGGUACAUGCGUACUUCAUCUCAAGAGACCAACUUCACCUUCAACUCUCAAAGUCAGUCUAAGCUUUAAAGUACCAUAAACGCAUGCCAAGGCUUGUUACAUAAGACCAGCAGAAGCAGGAAUUGGCUUAAUUCAGAAGAGUAUUUUAAAUAUUUAAUGUCAAGGAAAAAAUACAGAUUAGAUUAUGACAGAUCUCAAAUCUGCGUGUUCAUUUAGACAUUUUUAGCCUCAAGAGCAGCUUAACAUUUUCAUUUGGCUUCCUCUGACAUGCCAUCUCACUUUGAACUACCAAUAUGAACAGCUGAGAUGCAUCUCCUACAAAGGCAAAGUGAAUUUAGUCAAGUAAUUCAGGAUAAGGAAUACAUAAACCUAUUUCAGAAUUAAACCAAGUGGUACCAAAAAGCAUGUGAGUGCAUGGGGCAAAACUGCUGGAUCAUCACUACAAACAAUUUAAGCAAACUUUUAUUGAAGCAUUAAGUUGUGGUACAGAUAUUUUUAAAUGAUCAAAGUCUAACACCACAGAAAUUAUAAACACCAUACUCCCCCCAUCCUGAUCACCCUAGAUAGUUCAAUAAUCCGUUCAACAGCUUUCAUUUUUAUAGCCAAGGCUUAUGCUUCUAUUUAUAAAAUGUGUAUUUCAGCAUUACUUGAAAAGGGAUCUUCAGUCUACUUGAAGGACCUCAAGCCAAAUGUCAGAUCGGUCGGGACAACAUUUAAGAACAAAAACCACUGAAAUAUUGGUCCUCAAUAUUAACACCAAAAAGCAUUAGUGCCAUUUACAGCAUGUAAUUGAUAACAUUGGUAAAGAACAUCAACAAUAUGCUUAAAAUAAAAAAUUCAAAGUGUUCCAACCACUUGAUUUCUAACCAAGCAGACUUUAGUUUAGAAGCACUGAAAAAGUGCUUCAUUUAUAAAUACGGAAGGAACAAAAAACCAUUGCGUCAAACCAGAAAGAGUCAAAACAUUGCAAGGACAAGAGAAAAAAACACUCAAUUUUGUAGGUAAUGUGCUGGUCUCACAGCUGUUAAAAUCCCAGUAUUCGCAAACGGCAUAGCUGAAAGUCUGCCAGCUUUUUUAAAGUCUGCAUUUUAGUCAAUACCCAUUAAAGUGACUUUGAAUUACACACUUAUUCAUGGUCUAUGAAUAGCAUUCUACUUCACUUCUGUCCAGGUGUGCCAGACAGUUCUUGUUCUAUGCCUUCACUUAAUGCCCUCAAGUCACAGUAAGAGGAACCACCUUAGAAAUUAGGAGGAAAAAACAGA